UAUCCAUUUCCUUUAUCCCAAAUAGGGCGGCUCACAUCUUGGGUGAAACCGACCGACUCGGCCAAUUAAUCCGAAUCAAACCAAUUUGUCGGUUAAAAGUACACGGCCUGGUACAUUAAACGCUUCUCAUUUUAGGUCGGUUGAUGGAAUAAUUUAUUAAAACCCGAGAAACCUAAUUUUAUCAUUUAAAAAUCUGUGUGUCUCCUAGAUAUAGGUUCGCUUGUUUCUCUUCUCUUUCUUUGCAUAUCCAAUGUCGGAUUUUUCAUCUACACCCUGAUCUGGAUUCUUGGCUUCUCGUGCUGCAGCAGAUCGAGGACGACGAGAUCACUUGUGCUCUCCUAUCGAACCUUAUCAAGCACGUCUUUACCUUCAACAGGCUCCAUAACGGCCAGAGGAACUUCUCCGUUCUCUUUCCCCGAAAACGACGGCUAUCUUCUCCAGGUCGUUUGAUAAUUUGCUGAAGUUUUGGCACAUUGUUUGCUGAAGUUCUGAGCAGUAAAGACCCCUGUUUCUUUUUGUGGCCAUGGAACAUCUUAAUUUACAAAAUGAUGGAUUGGGUCAGCUUGGAAGCAAAUUUGCUCCCAAAGCGGCUUAUGAACAGUCCUAGCUAUCAUCACCAACGUAUGUGAUAUUCUUUUUUGAUUUUAGGUGUGGACUUUCGCACAAUUCUUCUUAAAAGAGAUCUUCUCAGGACUCUCAAGUCUCAAUUGAUUUUUUUUUUUUUUUAAUGCUUUGAGGAACAAAGAUCCUAAUUUUGACAUGUUGCGCUAAUAUUGCAUGAACCCUGAACUGAGUUACCAUGUACGAUGUGGUAUUUAGAGCCUGGAAGAUAAUGUCAUCCUGAAAACUAGUUGCUGUUUCACAAUCCCGUCCCUGUAUUUCUUUUUCCUCCAAAAUAUUUUUAAGGUUUCGGUUUUAUCGUUUUAUAGAAUGCAAAUGUUUUUCGAUGAGGACCAAUCUCGAGUUUGGAAGAUAAUGUCAUUCUUCAAACUACAUGUUGUUUAACAAUUUAGUUUCUGUAUUUUUUUUUAAAAGAAAAAUUCUUCUGUUUAUUUCUUCAGCAAAGUGAUAAUUGCAAGACUUUAAGAAGCUUUCAUUUUUAUUUUUAUUUUUUUAAAGAUUGCAUAUGGUAUCAUGCAGUGCCUAUUUUGUUCUUGUAAGUUUUUGGUUUCCAAAAUUCUUCUUGUUUUUAAGAAAAAUGAUCAUUCUCAAGGUUUUCAGAAGGUUUCUUUUUUUAUUUUUUUAUUUUUUUAUUUUCAGGAACAAAGGUCCUGAUUUUGUGCAAGCAAACAAUUAGGCCUUGAUUAAGUCUUCUUUUGAAGUUGCAAACUUGCUCUACUGACGCAUGGGAAAAAUUUUCUGAAAACUACCUGGUCCUUAACAAUCUAGUCCCUUUAUUUUUCUCCCCAAAAUUCUACUUAUUUCUCAGAAAAGUGAUAAUUUUUAAGGAUUUUCAAAAUUUAUCAUUCUUACUUUUAUAAAAUUGCAUAUGGUUUCAUUGAGUGGCAAUUUUGAGCUUGGAAGAUAAAGUCCUUCUGAAAACUACCUGGUGUUCCACAAUCCAGUUCCUGUAUUUUUAUUUUCAAAAUUCUUCUGCAUAUGUUUUAGAAAAAUGACCAUUCUCACUAUGCCUUCGUUUCCCCUCAAGAUCAUUUGAUAAGGCUCAUUGCUCAAGAUUCCUUAUUCCGUGGACUGUAUGGUAAUUGAUCAUCAGAGACUCUGAUCAGCAUUUUACUACAUACAAGAUUAUUAUUGCAGUAUGCUUGAAUGUGAAUGUAGGAAAGAUAUUUUGUAGCUAGGCAGUCAGGAUUACGGCAACUAUUAAACUUUCUGCUUCUUACUCCCUGUUUUUGAGUGGCAUUUUUAUUCUAUUCUGGUUUUGCUGAAAUUCAUUUGGGGAUUGAUAUCUGAGUUUCUCUUGCAAUGUUCUUUAUUUGUAGGAAUUGGGAAUUACUUUGAUAAUUUAAAUCA
Long non-coding RNA from Hevea brasiliensis (rubber tree), 1971 nucleotides. RefSeq lists it as uncharacterized. The record is from RefSeq and is a predicted model, not a curated record. Lineage: Eukaryota; Viridiplantae; Streptophyta; Magnoliopsida; Malpighiales; Euphorbiaceae. The transcript is spliced from 3 exons.